Molecule: long non-coding RNA, 197 nt
Organism: Malurus melanocephalus (red-backed fairy wren)
Lineage: Eukaryota; Metazoa; Chordata; Aves; Passeriformes; Maluridae
Exons: 3
Source: RefSeq, a predicted model, not a curated record
CGGAGAAAGAUCCGGAACAAACAAUCGGCGCAGGACAGCCGGAGGAGGAAGAAGGAAUACCUGGACGGGCUGGAGAGCAGAGCGGCCGCGUGCUCUGCACUGAACCAGGAGCUGCGGAAAAAGGUGCAGGAGCUGGAGAAGAGCAACGGCUCUCUCCUGCGGCAGCUCCAGGCGCUGAUCAAGGAAACGUCCUCCAA